GAUGAAGAACGCAGCGAAAUGCGAUACUUGGUGUGAAUUGCAGAAUCCCGUGAACCAUCGAGUCUUUGAACGCAAGUUGCGCCUCAAGCCAUUAGGUUGAGGGCACGUCUGCCUGGGCGUCACAUAUCGUUGCCUGAUGCCAGUUUCCUCGUGAUGGGUGACUGUGCAGGGCGAAUGAUGGCUUCCCGUGAGCAUUGUUGCCUCAUGGUUGGUUGAAAAUUGAGUCCUUGGUAGGGAGCGCCGUGAUAGAUGGUGGUUGAGUGACGAACGAGACCCAAUCAUGUGAGACCCCUACCGAAUUUGGCCUUCAUGACCCACAUGCGUCUUUGGAACGCUCAUGACGAGACCUCAGGUCAGGCGGGGCUACCCGCUGAGCUUAAGCAUAUCAAUAAGCGGAGGA
Molecule: unclassified non-coding RNA, 400 nt
Filed under: soil metagenome
Description: partial contains 5.8S ribosomal RNA, internal transcribed spacer 2, and large subunit ribosomal RNA
Rfam family: 5.8S ribosomal RNA (bases 1-122)
Source: RNAcentral